Long non-coding RNA from Perognathus longimembris pacificus (Pacific pocket mouse), 441 nucleotides. RefSeq lists it as uncharacterized. The transcript is spliced from 3 exons. The record is from RefSeq and is a predicted model, not a curated record. NCBI's taxonomy places the organism in Eukaryota, Metazoa, Chordata, Mammalia, Rodentia, Heteromyidae.
AUUCUGUCACAUUCAUUUGCGUUAUUCUAUGUGACCCAAACACUAAGUCACUAUUCUGAUCAUAAAUAGACUGCAUACUGAUUUCUCCAUGAAGAUCUAAUUUGCUCCUCAAUCUAACAGGUAUGGUGAAAAUAUUCUCCACAUCCAAUUGAUGGACUAUAUAUUCCAACCAGCUACUUUUUCCAAUUUUUUUUUACAGCUAGUCUAAAAUUAUUUCUUUUCUCUGCAAAAGAAACACCUGCUAGAGGCUGGUGAGGAUUUUCUUAUCAUGGAAGAACAUACAAUCAUUUCUGUAUUACAAGUAGUUUGUCAAACUGGGACAUUCUUUUUAUUUUUGUAGUGAGUUGUUCUAGGCAACACAAAAUUCUCUUUGCUUUAAGUCUGAGAUAACACCAAAGGGAAUAGUAAGGUUUUUUUUCACAUUUCGUAAAAAUAUGAUUA